This 73-nucleotide transfer RNA is filed under the name Acanthopleuribacter pedis. It matches the Rfam family "tRNA". From Rfam's summary of the family: Transfer RNA (tRNA) molecules are approximately 80 nucleotides in length. Their secondary structure includes four short double-helical elements and three loops (D, anti-codon, and T loops). Further hydrogen bonds mediate the characteristic L-shaped molecular structure. tRNAs have two regions of fundamental functional importance: the anti-codon, which is responsible for specific mRNA codon recognition, and the 3' end, to which the tRNAs corresponding amino acid is attached (by aminoacyl-tRNA synthetases). tRNAs cope with the degeneracy of the genetic code in two manners: having more than one tRNA (with a specific anti-codon) for a particular amino acid; and 'wobble' base-pairing, i.e. permitting non-standard base-pairing at the 3rd anti-codon position. The record is from Rfam by way of RNAcentral. Lineage: Bacteria; Pseudomonadati; Acidobacteriota; Holophagae; Acanthopleuribacterales; Acanthopleuribacteraceae.
GGAAGCGUAGCCCAACGGCAGAGGCAGGCGACUUAAAAUCGCCGUGGUGUGGGUUCGAAUCCCACCGCUUCCA